GAUGAAGAACGUAGCGAAAUGCGAUACGUAAUGUGAAUUGCAGAAUUCAGUGAAUCAUCGAAUCUUUGAACGCACAUUGCGCCUGCCAGCACUCUGGCAGGCAUGUCUGUUCGAGCGUCAUUUCAACCAUCAAGCCCUAGGCUUGCGUUGGAGCCCUGCGGCUGCCGCAGGCCCCUAAAAGCAGUGGCGGGCUCGCUAUCACACCGAGUGCAGUAGAUUACUCUUCGCUCAGGGCGUGUGGCGGGUUCCAGCCGUGAAACCCCCUACUUCUCAAGGUUGACCUCGGAUCAGGUAGGAAUACCCGCUGAACUUAAGCAUAUCAAUAAGCGGAGGA
RNAcentral lists this unclassified non-coding RNA (334 nucleotides) under soil metagenome. RNAcentral's name for it is "partial contains 5.8S ribosomal RNA, internal transcribed spacer 2, and large subunit ribosomal RNA". The stretch from base 1 to 120 matches the Rfam family "5.8S ribosomal RNA", at positions 35 to 154 of the family's 154-position model. The record is from RNAcentral.